This 509-nucleotide ribosomal RNA is filed under the name Lactiplantibacillus plantarum. RNAcentral describes it as "bacterial SSU rRNA". It matches the Rfam family "Bacterial small subunit ribosomal RNA", at positions 63 to 535 of the family's 1533-position model. The record is from RNAcentral. Lineage: Bacteria; Bacillati; Bacillota; Bacilli; Lactobacillales; Lactobacillaceae.
CGAACGAACUCUGGUAUUGAUUGGUGCUUGCAUCAUGAUUUACAUUUGAGUGAGUGGCGAACUGGUGAGUAACACGUGGGAAACCUGCCCRGAAGCGGGGGAUAACACCUGGAAACAGAUGCUAAUACCGCAUAACAACUUGGACCGCAUGGUCCGAGYUUGAAAGAUGGCUUCGGCUAUCACUUYUGGAUGGUCCCGCGGCGUAUUAGCUAGAUGGUGAGGUAACGGCUCACCAUGGCAAUGAUACGUAGCCGACCUGAGAGGGUAAUCGGCCACAUUGGGACUGAGACACGGCCCAAACUCCUACGGGAGGCAGCAGUAGGGAAUCUUCCACAAUGGACGAAAGUCUGAUGGAGCAACGCCGCGUGAGUGAAGAAGGGUUUCGGCUCGUAAAACUCUGUUGUUAAAGAAGAACAUAUCUGAGAGUAACUGUUCAGGUAUUGACGGUAUUUAACCAGAAAGCCACGGCUAACUACGUGCCAGCCGCCGCGGUAAUWCGGUCAUAGCUG